CCAGCGUCCAGGGGAGGUGGACCAAGCCCGGACCGGGGCUGUCAAGAACAAUCUGCACCUAGAGCCACCAGCGAGGAUCCCCCAGUCGCCUCCAGAGUCCGCGGGAAUGAGCGUGGCGGUCGUAGACAUGUAAGUAUUGAAUUAAGUAGUUUUAAUUAGCAUUUUGUAUUAGGAUUUACAUUAAAUUUUGUAUUUCCCUUUUUUUCAGGGUUCCGUAGGCUCCACCAGGGAAGAUGAGGAGUUCGGGGUUCCGAGCAUAGAUAACCUGCUCCUCAUCAGACUGGUGGAGGCGCGUCCAGCAUUAUGGGACCACUCCGACCGCCACCACGCCGAUCAUCGUCGUACCCAGCGGCUCUGGAGGGACAUCUCUGCUUCAGUUUUUGAGACCUGGGGGGAUCUAGAUGCGGCGGCUCAGGAGAAAUAUGUCAAACUGGUUACAACGCAUUGGCGAUCUAUCCGGGACCGCUUCAGGAGGGAUUACAACAAGGAGGUUCAGGCCCCGAGUGGCUCCGGAGGAACCUCAGGGGCCACCUACAUCCAUACGGCAGCCCUGGGGUUCCUACG
Long non-coding RNA from Bufo bufo (common toad), 564 nucleotides. RefSeq lists it as uncharacterized. The transcript has 3 exons. Lineage: Eukaryota; Metazoa; Chordata; Amphibia; Anura; Bufonidae. The record is from RefSeq and is a predicted model, not a curated record.